GACGAACGCUGGCGGCGUGCCUAAUACAUGCAAGUCGAACGCAGUGGGGACGGGUGAGUAACCUGUGGGUAAGCUCCCAUACGUGGGGAUACCACUUGGAAACAGGUGCUAAACCGAUACUGAUGGCUGAUCGCGCGGUGCAUGAGCUAGUUGGUGAGGUAACGGCUCACCAAGGCAACGAUGCAUAUCCGACCGGAGAGGGUGAUCGGCCACACUGGGACUGAGACACGGCCCAGACUCCUACGGGAGGCAGCAGUAGGGAAUCUUCGGCAAUGGACGAAAGUCUGAUCGAGCAAUGCCGCGUGAGUGAAGAAGGUUUUCGGAUCGUAAAACUCUGUUAUUAGAGAAGCGUUAUCUAACCAGAAAGCCACGGCUAACUACGUGCCAGCAGCCGCGGUAAUUC
This 403-nucleotide ribosomal RNA is filed under the name uncultured bacterium. RNAcentral's name for it is "partial 16S ribosomal RNA". It matches the Rfam family "Bacterial small subunit ribosomal RNA", at positions 28 to 526 of the family's 1533-position model. The record is from RNAcentral.